This 212-nucleotide long non-coding RNA is filed under the name Panax ginseng (ginseng). Its description in RNAcentral is "long non-coding RNA (PGIN_LNC011125)". The record is from RNAcentral. Lineage: Eukaryota; Viridiplantae; Streptophyta; Magnoliopsida; Apiales; Araliaceae.
GUUUGUAAGUAGAAAACAUCCAUUUGUUGGAACAGAUGUGGCGAGUAGCCCCAGUGUCCACGUACCACUCUUUAGGGUUUCCUACCAAGUUACAUUCAGAUAUAACUGCACAAAGAUUCAUGUCUGAAACAUCUUCAGAAAGCUUUUCCAGUUCUGUCACAUUUGCUUGAGGCUUUUGUUCUUUCUUCAACUUCUUUGGCUUUCGACAUUCA